Molecule: long non-coding RNA, 1073 nt
Organism: Cyprinus carpio carpio
Lineage: Eukaryota; Metazoa; Chordata; Actinopteri; Cypriniformes; Cyprinidae
Source: Ensembl
CACUCCCUUCAAAUAGAGUGUAUAUGAUAUCAGCGGGGGAGAGGACAGAGGUUAUAGCCAUGGACUGAACUACCCAGUAGUGUUUGUUUUCUGAGUCGGAUCUAUGUCCAUCAGCGGUCAACCCCCACAGAGAGAGCUCUGGGUCCCAGGCCACCCCUUUCCCCUGCCGCCUUUGCUUUCACCUUUCUGCUUGGCUGCACCCCUUCGUGCAAGGCCUGUGUCCUCAGCGCUGGGCUUCAGAGCAGAGGAUACAUGGGUAUUAUUGAUGUGUUGGACUCCAGACUUUGCAGGGGGCCUUCAGUGCCCAAAGUAAGACUGCUGUCAGUACAGAGCACUAUAAGGGCUCCUCUGGGUCUCGACAUCAGGCGUAGGUGACAGCAGCCAUAUUUUAUUCCACACAUACAGGCCAUAUACUCCACACUGUACCUCUCCAGCUGAGCGUUAUAAACAGCUUCCUCUAAAAUGACUAAUGAACCAUAAAAGCUGAUCACCUAAAUGCAAUAAACCUGUGGGGAACAGUUUUUCCUCUUGGUAUGAGCAAGCAUGGUUCGUGUAGGCUUUACUUGACUACAGAUUCUUGCAACUAAUGCAUGCCAUUUGGAAUUUGAUGAGGUAAAGUAGGAAGUGUCGAUGCUUAUCAACUCAUGUAUAAUGAAAUAAUUAAAAGAAAUAUUAAAAAUGUGACUUAUAAAACAGACCACAGGUUACCUACUGUCUGAGAGACAGUUUGACAGAGACAGUGUGUUUCUGUGUGAUUAGCAUCCUGCCAUACAGUCUCUCCAAAUGUGCACAUAUGAAUUUAACCUUGCCUGAGGUUUUUUAUUCUAAAACUCUUUUUUUUCUCUCUCUCUCUAUUUAUAAUGCGCCCCUGGCAUCACAGCUUUCCCAGCCUACACUAAAAGUUGCUUAGAAAUAGUGUCAGCAACGAUAAAACAUGUUUGUGAGCGAGACAAAAUUUGAUGUAAAAUUUUGCAGGACUUUCCUAGUAGUUACUUACUGCUACAAUCUUUCACAGCAUUUGACUUACCAGUUCAUUUUAGUUUGUUAUUGAUUUGUGUAAAAACAAAGCCCAA